CCGGACUCAGUUACGCGGUGACCGGCCUUACGUGCGGAACUGUCUAAUGGUUUAACUACUCAGAAACAGAGCAUAUUAUGACAUAAAAAAUCGUUGAUACAUUUUAAUGGUUUAGUUAAUGAAUUCGUGAGGAGUAAAAAAAAUAUAAAACACAAUUGGUGGAUUUUAAUUGUCAACGGAUAUCGGAUUUUUUGUGAUUAAUUGUAAUUUCAAUUAAUGGAAGACAAUGGUUCAUUGACUAUUUGUGAUUGAUAAAAUCAACAGUUACUGGGUGACAUCAGCGAGUUUGAAUUGUAAGUAGAGUUUCAUCGAAAAAGUUAUCAAGAAAAUGAUGGAAUACCCAGCACUCUAUCACAAGUUGUCCAAAGUUUCAUUGACAAGCACGAUGUAACAGUGUUAUCCAAAUCCCAUCUCCAACCCUCAUAUGACUCUUGAUGUUAUUUCAUUUGUUUUUUUUUUGUUGAGAGUAAGAACAUUCCCAGUGUGAUUAUGAUGAUUUUGAGCACGUGGUGAGAGUUUGGAAAAACCCCUUGAGCACAUCCCGACACUUUUGUUGUCCUGAUUAUUGAAUAUUGAAUGAGACAUCAAUUGAAAGCACAAGUAGUUGGUUGGUUGUACCAGUAACAAGGUGCCUACGUCUCGUCGAAUGUAGGAAACCGAGGAUAAUUCACGAGGAGCAACAAUUUCACCAGUGGGAUUAUAACCGGAAGUGAAUGACUGAUGUCAAUCUGAAGAAGUAUCUUGGACAAGUGUUGGUGGUGUUGAAUCAUUGGAGGAUUUAAUCGUGUGGGCAUUGUCACACGUACUUGUCUGGAUAUAAUCAAGGGUGAAGAGUUAGCCGCAUGCGAGUCCCAAGGUCAGAGGUGUGGAACGAGAGGAUUUACAAUCGUCAGGACCUCAUCGGCAACGAUCGGGUCCUCAAUGCCAUUUGGAGGGACACAAGAGCACCACCAGCGACUCUGGCAGGUCGGUUGUGUCUCACGUCAACAAAUAUAUCAUAAGAGAAUUAAAUUGAAAAUUCUCAGAUGUAUUUAGUCAGUUUAUAAAUUUUUUUUUCAAUCAUUCCUCGGUGGUCUAUGUGGAUAAACGUUUAGUUUAUGCUUUUUUAAUCAUUGGACUAUUUUUUAAAAAUCUGCACUCGAGUUGAUAUUGGUUAUUUUUCCAUUGAAUGUCAUCUUCGUUAUGCAGUUGUUGGAUUUUUUAAAUGGAAUAAGGGGGGGUCAGUAGACGGUUAUAAGGACAUGACGGUGUUGGAGAUAUAUUGAGGGUGAAUUUGUUGGUUGGAAGAUUGUUGAGGUGAUUGUUUUAUCGAGAUAACGUUGAGGAUCAAGGGAGUGCGAAUAUGCGUACUGUCAGUGAUAAUGCCGGGACUAAAACAACUGUUCAACCCGUGACUGGGGGCAGUGGGUUGAGGGGUAGCGUUGGGGAUAGUCAUGUUGAUGAGUGUACUGUUGCUGCUCAUGUUGGUCCCAGGAGCAUUCACCAUGGUAUUGUUUACCCGGUCAACAGCCGGGUUGCUUUUGCCGAUAGCAACAAUAAUCAUGAUCAUCAUAGGAAUCUUGAGAGUCAGGAGCAGGGGCAUAAUGCUGAUGAUGCUUGGACAAAGUGCACUUACUGACGUAUCCAUAAUCAUUAGCAUUAAACUGGAUGACUCACAUUGCUAUAAUAAGCCUGAUCGAAGCCACCAGCGGUGGCACGAGGACAAGCGCUGUGUCGAAACAAAUUUUCGGUCCUAUUAUGGGGCUUUCCUCAUUCCGUUAAUGACAACGGUGUGUGUGACAGGAUACAGGUGAGUUUAGUCACAGGGUGAUAUUUCACAGUGCUUUUUAGCGAGAGAAUUUAAUUACUUCAUGAGAAAAAUUUCAUAUUAAACUGAUUAAUAUAAAAACUUAUUCCUCUAAGAAUAAGCUUUUUUCAAUAAUUAAUAUCAACGUAUGCGAUCAAUUAAAAUUAAAAUUAAAGCUUUUUGUAAAGCUCUGAACCCACGAGGUUAAACACUUUGAUCUUUUCGUAAAGGUUUAUGUAUGACUCGAGUAAUUGUUCUGUAAAAAAGAUUUUCAAAGAUUUCCUCAUAUUAUCAUUACGAAGAUAAUUGAACAAUUAACAAAACAUUGGUUUGAACAAUGUGAAAUAUUUAUGCAAUCAUGUCGGUAAUUAGCAGCGUUACGAGAAAAUCCUAAAGAGACGUUUUGUGUAAUCGAGGGAAUUCUCGGUAAAAUAUUUUCUGCCAUUUUCCCCGAUUUUUCCUAGAUCGUCUGUGCCUACAUAAUAUUCUAGCAUACAAUAAAUUCGCAGCCUUUCCUUUGGCCUGGGAUCCACGCACAUCCGACUAAAUGGAUUUCAAUGAGAUUUUUACUGUCAAUUAGAUUAGAAUCUGUGUUCUAACAUCAGUUAUAAAUUAUUGCGCUAAGUUACAUGUGAGGAAAGGUGCUCUCAGUGCUAUUCCGAAAGAGUAAUUAAUUGAAUUGAAUUUAGGCCGACUCGAUAUAUUUUUAAAAUCUAAAUUUUUCCAUUUGGGGUAUAAUUUAUUGCAAAGGGAGAGGGAGAGGUAUUGCAAAAGAAAGAAAUGAGCAAUGGCUAUUACGUGACAGAAAGAAAUCAUAUAGAAAACCCCCAUUUAGCAACCUAUUGCCCAUUCAUUAGCAAAUUAUUAGCAAAAACAACUAUACUAUUCACAGAAAUGAGCAAUUGCCAGUUAUUUGAUUAGAUGGCAGUUAAUUUAAUGAAAAAAUAUGAUAUACCCGGGUAAUGAUGAAUUGAUGAUGCUGAUGUUCUCAGUCAAUCAAAUACUUGACUAAAAUUCUCAAAAGUUGUCAUUGAACCCUCAGCCCAUUAUUUCCAAUUCUCUCUCCUCCGAUCUUCGCCUACGAUUGCCUCAAGUCUCCACUUGGCGCAACAUCAGCAGAUCGCCUGCAUAUCCCCAGUGCUGUUGUGGCGCAAUGUACCACCGCGAGGUGAGGUUUCGUCGUCUCACCUCGACCGUUUCUCUCCCCGGACAUUUCCUGACAUUGCAUUCACGUUGGAUUUCAUUCUUAACUGCGAAAUACGAGAAAAUAAAAAUGAGAAAAUUUUUUUUUCUCACUCAUUUCAAUCGCCCUCUCGCGCUCUGAUGUCCCUGAGAGCUGGAGACGUAAAAAAGGUUCGAAAACUUGACACCGAGUGUGUGUAUUAUGAGGAGAAUAUUUCGCAAUAGGAUCAGCCAUGUAUUAGUCUUCGUUUCGCUUCUCAUUUUUAUGUAUUGCUUCAUUUUUUUUUUUACUUCUCUUUGUCCUCUUUAUUCUUAAUUUUGUCGUCUCUCUUUCUCUCUGUCAAAGACCCUGCGGAGGCCCCCGAGCGACGUAUAGACCCGAGUACGCAAUGGAAAUGAGGCAAUCGUACGCGACUUUUGCACGAUAUCGACAUGCGAUAUGAACUCGAUUUCGUUGAGAAAAUGUGGAAUUGUAAUGAACUGAGGGUUAUUUUAAUAAAUUCAUGUCUGACAGAUAAUCGAUUCAGAGUAUUUGGUACUAGUGGGUGAAUUUAUUUGUAUUGCGACAUUCAAAAUUGACUGAAAGGCGAAAAGCGAAUUUCUCCAUUUCUUUGUGUUACGCAGAACGAUUUUUUUUAAUUCAAGGGAUUUCUGAAGAUGCUCUCGCAAAAAGUUCAUAUAGCGUUACUGAGUCAACGUGAGGCCUGAUGAGUGCGGUAAUGAAAUAGUAGAAAGGGAACAGUUCAAGGAAUUAAUUCGAAAUAUACUGUUGGGGCAUAAUAUUUGAAGAUAUGAUGUUCCAACUGAAAUAUCUUCAAAAGUGAGAGGCCGAGAAGUAUUGGUUGAUUGAGAUGUUUUUAUAGGAAAUUCCGUAUUCUAGAAAAAGAAUUCCUGAUGUUCUUCGUUAAACCCACUUGUUUUGCUUCUCCAAGCAAUUACGACACGAUCUCUAUUUCAACUCCAACCGGACUUUUUAAUGAUUUUUUCAAUGCCCCUGAAAAUUAAAGGUUCAACGAACCUCGUUAAGUCGAGUAUGGAUAUUUCAGAAUCUUAAUGAGAAAAUUAUUGGAGUCGAAUUAGAAGUCCCCACUUCACAUUCUCCUGUGAACUCCCCAUUUCCACAGAUAAUUGAGCCUGCAGGCUUAUUGAAAGGUAUAUUGAGGUAGACCAUGUUAAGUGAAUCAAGGGGGGACCCUCACCCUCGUCGAAAUUGAUCUCGAUUUUCCUGAUUUUUAAAGCAGUUUGUUUUGGAGAUGUGGAUUUAUCUUUAUGUCUAGAAUUAUUUCUUUCAUUUUAUUAAAAAAAGGGCUAAUAAAAAUAGAGUGAGAAAUUUAUUUUUAUAAAAAUUCUGAAAAUCCCAGAUGGAAAGGCAUAUUUUACCAAAAAUUUCUCCCUAUGGGGAACCCAAUUACAGAAGAUUGACUUAUUUCACAUACGAUUCCUGGUAGAGUGAUUAAAAACAAGUUUUUGAGGGAAUAAAUAUCUUUACAAAAAGGGAAGGACUAAAAAUAUUGGCUGGGCUUUUCAGCAGAGAAUCUGAUGGACUUAAGAAGUUUUAGAAAUAUCUAUUGUUAAUCUGUUAUGGUUUCUAGGAAAUGUUGGCUAAUGCACCCCAUUAGAUAAGCGGAUCAAGCCUAAACCGAUGUUCUAUUCUACAAAAUGUCCUUGAUUUAUAAUUUUACAAGUCAUGUAGACUUUAUGUUAAGUCGUUCGAGGAGUCAAUUCAAAGUAGUUGCAAUAAUUCACCUAUCAUGUAUUUUCUUGGCGACCCAGUUACACGCAUUCGAGUCUCAACCUCACAAACAGCAAAGUGAUAAUUUUAAAAAAUGGGAGAAUUGAAAUAUUGUGACCAUCGGUUUAUCUCUGUCAAGGUUGUUUGCUGACAAAAAAUUACCAUUCCGUUUCAUUGACAACGAAACGUGGAAUAGAUUUUGUAACCGCUUAAAUUCAGCGUCAACAGGAAGACCCAGAGAGGAAAACCGUACGAUAAACCGCGAAUUAACAGUCAAACUGUUGUGAUAAGUGGCAGAAGUUCAACUUAAAAAAAAUAUAUCCUGAAAUAACGAUUUCGUACGCGAGUCACCGACAAAAAAAAAGAAAAAAAAAUGUUCAAUGCGCGACCAUGAAAACUUUUUUACCUCUUAUGAUUACAGGACGAUAUGAAGAACUGUAUGCUUCAGCACCGCCAUUAAAAAGUCGAUCGAUUGUGGCAAUUAUAGUUUAAAUCUGAAGAAACAGCCCGAAAAUAAAAUUUACACGACCGGAUGUUACAACACAUACAUUGAUGAUAUUGGAACACAUA
Diachasmimorpha longicaudata is the source of this 5270-nucleotide long non-coding RNA. RefSeq lists it as uncharacterized. NCBI's taxonomy places the organism in Eukaryota, Metazoa, Arthropoda, Insecta, Hymenoptera, Braconidae. The transcript has 3 exons. The record is from RefSeq and is a predicted model, not a curated record.